GGCCUCUUGAUUUAUUAAUAAGAGGUUUGACCUGCCCAGUGAAUAUUUAACGGCCGCGGUACUCUGACCGUGCAAAGGUAGCAUAAUCAUUAGUCUUUUAAAAGGAGGCUGGAAUGAAGGGUUUGACGAGGAAUUAACUGUCUCAUUUUUUUUGGAUUUAAAAUUUAACUUUUUAGUCAAAAGGCUAAAAUUUUAUUGGUAGACGAGAAGACCCUAUAGAGCUUUAUAUUUAUUUGAUUAUUUGUAUUAUAUUAUUUAUUAUUAUUUUAGGUAAAUAUUUUGUUGGGGUGACAAAAAUAUAUAAUUAACUUUUUUAUUUUAAUUACAUUGAUUUAUGAAUAUGAGAUCCAUUAUUAUUGAUUGUUAGAUUAAGUUACCUUAGGGAUAACAGCGUAAUCCUCUUCCAGAGUUCAUAUUUACGGGAGGGCUUGCGACCUCGAUGUUGGAUUAAGAUAAUAUUUAGGUGUAGCCGCUUAAGUAAUAGGUCUGUUCGACCUUUAAAUUCUU
Molecule: ribosomal RNA, 507 nt
Filed under: Macromia amphigena
Lineage: Eukaryota; Metazoa; Arthropoda; Insecta; Odonata; Macromiidae
Description: partial 16S rRNA
Rfam family: Bacterial large subunit ribosomal RNA
Source: RNAcentral